Non-coding RNA from Brachypodium distachyon (stiff brome), 136 nucleotides. NCBI's taxonomy places the organism in Eukaryota, Viridiplantae, Streptophyta, Magnoliopsida, Poales, Poaceae. The record is from Rfam.
AACAUACUCCCUCCGUCCAACAAAGGAUGUCUCAAUUUUUUCCAAAUUUGAAUGCAUCUAUACACUAAGUUAUGUCUAGAUACAUCCAAAUUUUGACAAACUUGAGACAUCUUUUGUUGGACGGAGGGAGUACAUC